AUGGCUGCCCAAUUAAUGAAACUAUGCAGCUCUGGGAGAGUAUUAGUGCCUCUAUUUGUGGUGGGUUUUUUAGCAGCCACGACAGUUUUGUAUCGGUUUCAGGAUUUUCCUUCUGGGAGAUUCUAUUCAUCGGUGUCGUGGCCCAAAAGUCCACAUUCUGGAAAUCUGAUGAUGAAUAGUAGUUUUGAUUUGGAGAAGGGAGUUGACAUUAGUGCUAGUAAUUUGGAAGAGGAGGGCACACCUCAUCACGAAAGACGUUCAGUAACAAGAAAUGACAGUAGCAUGGAGAACGAGGCAGAGCAAUUUUAUGUCUUCCAUAGUAAUACUACACAGAAUAAUGAUCAGAAGCACCUCGCUAGCUUAAAUCUGGAGUAUAACAGCAGUGUAACCGUUUCUACAAAUAAUUUUACUGUAGUUAGAUCAACUCCAAUGGAUAGAGUAGAGGUUUUGAUUAACAGAUCAAACACUUCUGCAUCCAAAAGCAACUCACAUACGAACAGAUCAAAACGGGCCGUAGAGUUGCAGGGUAAUCUGAAGAAUGACUCAUUCAACAUUGAGAAGUAUUUAAGAAGGAUGAGAAGGGUCAACUUGAUCACCUUGUUGCAGAUGAAAUCCAUGUUGCUUAGCAGUCCGAAGUAUUCUAAAUCAGUGAGGCAGGAAUGGUCAGCAGUACGUGAUAAUGAGCUUCUAUAUGCUAGCUCACAGAUUAAGAACACCCCCGUUUUAAGAAGUGUUGCAGACUUGCAUGCUCCUCUUUUCCGGAAUGUCUCUGUAUUUAAAAGGAGCUAUGACUUGAUGGAACAAAUUCUUAAAAUAUAUAUAUACAAAGACGGAAAGAAGCCCAUAUUUCACCAACCAGGGCUAACGGGAAUAUAUGCAGGAGAAGGGUGGUUUAUGGAGCUGAUACAGAGAAGUAAACACUUCACUGUAGAAGACCCUAGGAAAGCUCAUCUAUAUUAUUUACCCUUCAGUUCUACGACGUUGCGCUGGACCAUAAAUGAUGCCAAGUUACAUAACCCCAAGAGCUUGGAGGAUUAUCUCAAAGAAUAUGUGGAUUUGAUCAGGAAUAAAUAUAGCUAUUGGAAUGCUACUGGGGGAGCAGAUCACUUUUUUGUUGCUUGUCAUGACUGGGCUUUGCGUAUAACGACGAAGCAUAUGAGCAGCUGCAUUAGAGCUUUGUGCAACGCCAAUGUAGCAAGAGGAUUUAGUAUAGGCAACGAUGUUAGUAUACCGGUAACGUUUAUUCAUGAUGAAGAUGACCCUUCAAGAGAUAUUGGAGGAAAACCACCUUCAGAGAGAGAUACAUUAGCCUUCUUCGCUGGAAAAAUACACGGUUAUCUCCGACCAUUAUUGUUAAAGUAUUGGGAGAACAAGGUAUCUGAUAUGAAGAUCUUUGGUCCAAUGUCCCAUAAUUCUGAAGGAGAAACAACUUAUGAAGAGUACAUGAAGAGCAGCAAGUAUUGCAUUUGUGCAAGGGGAUACCAAGUCCACUCCCCCAGGGUGGUGGAGUCCAUUUUGUACGGGUGUAUUCCGGUGAUAAUUGCUGACAAUUACGUACCCCCUUUCUUCGAGAUGCUAGAUUGGGAGACAUUUGCUGUUUUCGUGCAGGAAAAAGACAUCCCAAACCUAAGGAGUAUUCUACUUUCUAUCUCAGAAGACAAGUACCUUGAUAUGCAACACAGGUUGACAAUGGUGCAAAGGCAUUUCAUAUGGCACAAAACUCCACAGAAGUAUGACUUGUUUCACAUGAUCCUUCACUCCCUUUGGUCUAGCCGUGUUUCUCGGAUAAGGCCCUAGCUUGUAGGGUAGUCUUGGUAGAACCCAUACUUAAUUUCGGCUCCCAGCUAGCGGUUCUACAAGCAACAAAAACUGGUGGUAGCAAUUCAGACCACUUCGUCACCUAGCUGAGAGACUUUCUCCCCAAGUUUUCUCUCGGUGCAUGUUAGCUUAACGUGCACCGUAGCCAUGGCAAGGAAAUCUGGCUCGAAAUCUCAAAGCAGCAAGCAUGGAAAUAGCAAAGGAAAACCUCGAGGUCCAUCAUCAGAUUCACAAGAUUUGAAAACACGCAGUAUUGAGGAGGUUAUGGGGGUAGAGGCACUGGAUUUUGGGCUCGAAAAUUGAAAUUUUCACGCCAAAAUCAGGUUUGCAGCAUCUUCAAACUCGAUCAGAAGUGAGGCAUUCUUUUAAUGAGUUUAUGGAGGUGAUUCAUGGCUCAGCAAAUCAGAUGAAACAAGGUACUGCUCGAUCUAAUAUGGAAGUGGGUACGAUUUCAAUUCCUAUAUUGCAGCAAUUUGAUGAGGCUGCUGCUACUGAUAAUGCACCUAAUUUUGAUAAUAAUGUUGAAAUACCUAUGAAAUUGUAUCCAGAACAGAUUGUUUCUGAUAAUGUUGAUGUUAGUGAAAUUCAUAG
Molecule: RNA transcript, 2409 nt
Organism: Spinacia oleracea (spinach)
Lineage: Eukaryota; Viridiplantae; Streptophyta; Magnoliopsida; Caryophyllales; Amaranthaceae
Gene name: probable glycosyltransferase At5g03795
Exons: 5
Source: RefSeq, a predicted model, not a curated record